RNAcentral lists this ribosomal RNA (759 nucleotides) under uncultured bacterium. RNAcentral describes it as "bacterial SSU rRNA". It matches the Rfam family "Bacterial small subunit ribosomal RNA", at positions 28 to 776 of the family's 1533-position model. The record is from RNAcentral.
AUUGAACGCUGGCGGCAGGCCUAACACAUGCAAGUCGAGCGGCAGCACAGAGAAAACUUGUUUCUCGGGUGGCGAGCGGCGGACGGGUGAGUAAUGCCUGGGAAAUUGCCUGAUGUGGGGGAUAACCAUUGGAAACGAUGGCUAAUACCGCAUGAUAGCUUCGGCUCAAAGAGGGGGACCUUCGGGCCUCUCGCGUCAGGAUAUGCCCAGGUGGGAUUAGCUAGUUGGUGAGGUAAGGGCUCACCAAGGCGACGAUCCCUAGCUGGUCUGAGAGGAUGAUCAGCCACACUGGAACUGAGACACGGUCCAGACUCCUACGGGAGGCAGCAGUGGGGAAUAUUGCACAAUGGGCGCAAGCCUGAUGCAGCCAUGCCGCGUGUGUGAAGAAGGCCUUCGGGUUGUAAAGCACUUUCAGUCGUGAGGAAGGUGGUAGUGUUAAUAGCACUGUCAUUUGACGUUAGCGACAGAAGAAGCACCGGCUAACUCCGUGCCAGCAGCCGCGGUAAUACGGAGGGUGCGAGCGUUAAUCGGAAUUACUGGGCGUAAAGCGCAUGCAGGUGGUUUGUUAAGUCAGAUGUGAAAGCCCGGGGCUCAACCUCGGAACUGCAUUUGAAACUGGCAGACUAGAGUACUGUAGAGGGGGGUAGAAUUUCAGGUGUAGCGGUGAAAUGCGUAGAGAUCUGAAGGAAUACCGGUGGCGAAGGCGGCCCCCUGGACAGAUACUGACACUCAGAUGCGAAAGCGUGGGGAGCAAACAGG